UAGGGAAUCUUCGGCAAUGGACGAAAGUCUGACCGAGCAACGCCGCGUGAGUGAAGAAGGUUUUCGGAUCGUAAAACUCUGUUGUUAGAGAAGAACAAGGACGUUAGUAACUGAACGUCCCCUGACGGUAUCUAACCAGAAAGUCACGGCUAACUACGUGCCAGCAGCCGCGGUAAUACGUAGGUGGCAAGCGUUGUCCGGAUUUAUUGGGCGUAAAGCGAGCGCAGGCGGUUUCUUAAGUCUGAUGUGAAAGCCCCCGGCUCAACCGGGGAGGGUCAUUGGAAACUGGGAGACUUGAGUGCAGAAGAGGUGAGUGGAAUUCCAUGUGUAGCGGUGAAAUGCGUAGAUAUAUGGAGGAACACCAGUGGCGAAGGCGGCUCUCUGGUCUGUAACUGACGCUGAGGCUCGAAAGCGUGGGGAGCAAACAGG
Molecule: ribosomal RNA, 429 nt
Filed under: Gemmatimonadota bacterium
Lineage: Bacteria; Pseudomonadati; Gemmatimonadota
Description: Gemmatimonadetes bacterium partial 16S ribosomal RNA
Rfam family: Bacterial small subunit ribosomal RNA
Source: RNAcentral